AGAGUUUGAUCCUGGCUCAGAUUGAACGCUAGCGGGAUGCCUUACACAUGCAAGUCGAACGGCAGCACGGACUUCGGUCUGGUGGCGAGUGGCGAACGGGUGAGUAAUGUAUCGGAACGUGCCUAGUAGCGGGGGAUAACUACGCGAAAGCGUAGCUAAUACCGCAUACGCCCUACGGGGGAAAGCAGGGGAUCGCAAGACCUUGCACUAUUAGAGCGGCCGAUAUCGGAUUAGCUAGUUGGUGGGGUAACGGCUCACCAAGGCGACGAUCCGUAGCUGGUUUGAGAGGACGACCAGCCACACUGGGACUGAGACACGGCCCAGACUCCUACGGGAGGCAGCAGUGGGGAAUUUUGGACAAUGGGGGAAACCCUGAUCCAGCCAUCCCGCGUGUGCGAUGAAGGCCUUCGGGUUGUAAAGCACUUUUGGCAGGAAAGAAACGUCGCGGGUUAAUACCCCGCGGAACUGACGGUACCUGCAGAAUAAGCACCGGCUAACUACGUGCCAGCCGCCGCGGUAAUAC
Molecule: ribosomal RNA, 523 nt
Filed under: uncultured bacterium
Lineage: Bacteria
Description: bacterial SSU rRNA
Rfam family: Bacterial small subunit ribosomal RNA
Source: RNAcentral